AAGUCGUAACAAGGUAACCGUAGGUGAACCUGCGGUUGGAUCAUUAAAAAAAAUUGAAGCUUCAACCCUUUCAAGGGUAGAAGCGUCAGUGCUCCUCUAACAAGGAGCUUGACUACUCCAAUUUUGUGAACUUGCAACCAAAAAAUGUUUUGAUAGUGGUGAAAGAUUUGGGCAUUACCAGCCCAAGUUUUUCCCUUCUUGAAAAAAUUGUUAACCCUGAAGAAAUAACUUGUCUUUACCGUUUUUUAUAAAUAAAAAUUAAUAAACAACUUUUGACAACGGAUCUCUAGGCUCUC
RNAcentral lists this unclassified non-coding RNA (296 nucleotides) under fungal sp. RNAcentral describes it as "partial internal transcribed spacer region". The stretch from base 1 to 46 matches the Rfam family "Eukaryotic small subunit ribosomal RNA", at positions 1786 to 1831 of the family's 1831-position model. The record is from RNAcentral. Lineage: Eukaryota; Fungi.